UACGGAGGGUGCGAGCGUUUGUCCGGAAUCAUUGGGCGUAAAGGGCGCGUAGGUGGCCUGCUAAGCGUGCGGUGAAAGUCGGGGGCUCAACCCCCGAUCGGCCGUGCGAACUGGGAGGCUUGAGCACUGUAGAGGCAGGCGGAAUUCCGGGUGUAGCGGUGGAAUGCGUAGAGAUCCGGAAGAACACCGGUGGCGAAGGCGGCCUGCUGGGCAGUUUUGCUGACACUGAGGCGCGACAGCGUGGGGGAGCAAACGG
Molecule: ribosomal RNA, 256 nt
Filed under: uncultured bacterium
Lineage: Bacteria
Description: partial 16S ribosomal RNA
Rfam family: Bacterial small subunit ribosomal RNA
Source: RNAcentral